UCACCUGCUGCAGUUACAGAACAAGA
RNAcentral lists this non-coding RNA (26 nucleotides) under Cricetulus griseus (Chinese hamster). Lineage: Eukaryota; Metazoa; Chordata; Mammalia; Rodentia; Cricetidae. The record is from RNAcentral.